Molecule: unclassified non-coding RNA, 236 nt
Filed under: plant metagenome
Description: partial contains small subunit ribosomal RNA, internal transcribed spacer 1, and 5.8S ribosomal RNA
Source: RNAcentral
UUUCCGUAGGUGAACCUGCGGAAGGAUCAUUACCGAGUGAGGGCCCUCUGGGUCCAACCUCCCACCCGUGUUUAUCGUACCUUGUUGCUUCGGCGGGCCCGCCUCACGGCCGCCGGGGGGCACCCGCCCCCGGGCCCGCGCCCACCGAAGACACCAUUGAACGCUGUCUGAAGAUUGCAGUCUGAGCAUCUUAGCUAAAUCAGUUAAAACUUUCAACAACGGAUCUCUUGGUUCCG